GACGAACGCUGGCGGCGUGCUUAACACAUGCAAGUCGAACGGAAAGGCCCUGCUUUUGUGGGGUGCUCGAGUGGCGAACGGGUGAGUAACACGUGAGUAACCUUCCCUUGACUUUGGGAUAACUUCAGGAAACUGUGGCUAAUACCGGAUAGGAGCUCCUGCUGCAUGGUGGGGGUUGGAAAGUUUCGGCGGUUGGGGAUGGACUCGCGGCUUAUCAGCUUGUUGGUUGGGUAGUGGCUUACCAAGGCUUUGACGGGUAGCCGGCCUGAGAGGGUGACCGGCCACAGUGGGACUGAGAUACGGCCCAGACUCCUACGGGAGGCAGCAGUGGGGAAUAUUGCACAAUGGGCGGAAGCCUGAUGCAGCAACGCCGCGUGCGGGAUGACGGCCUUCGGGUUGUAAACCGCUUUCGCCUGUGACGAAGCGUGAGUGACGGUAAUGGGUAAAGAAGCACCGGCUAACUACGUG
This 468-nucleotide ribosomal RNA is filed under the name uncultured bacterium. Its description in RNAcentral is "partial 16S ribosomal RNA". It matches the Rfam family "Bacterial small subunit ribosomal RNA", at positions 28 to 507 of the family's 1533-position model. The record is from RNAcentral.